GGCUGGUCUGAAGGUAGUGAGUUAUCUCACUUGAUUGUUCACAGUUAUAGAUCAAACUUCUUGUUCUACUCUUUCCCCUCUUCUCACUACUGUACUUGACUAGUCUUUG
Molecule: Y RNA, 109 nt
Filed under: Cercocebus atys (sooty mangabey)
Lineage: Eukaryota; Metazoa; Chordata; Mammalia; Primates; Cercopithecidae
Description: Y RNA (ENSCATG00000005526.1)
Rfam family: Y RNA
About the family: Y RNAs are components of the Ro ribonucleoprotein particle (Ro RNP), in association with Ro60 and La proteins. The Y RNAs and Ro60 and La proteins are well conserved, but the function of the Ro RNP is not known.
Source: Rfam by way of RNAcentral